AAGAGACUUAUCCAACCAUGGCUUUACUUUAGGAUGAUCUGGCUUGGCUACUUAGUUGUGGAGCCUAGAAGCCCACUACCUCCCGACCUCUCAGUUUCAGUUGGUCACACUGUGCGCGGAAGGAUCUUCUUACCUCCUGGUUGAGCAUGAGUCUGUCAACUACUAUUUUGAAAGCUGAGCAUCUAAUACAGACACGGUGACUGACUGGAAAUUACUACUCAAGAUUUGUCAGCUGACUGGUAGAAUACUUGGAAGCUCAACCAUGCGCCUGGUAAAAGCUAAACCCAGGAAAUAACAUGGCCUCAAGCUGAAGGGGAAAUGCCUGACAAUGUCCACUGGGAAAAGGAAAAAAACAAGUGAGACUCAAGUUGUGAUCCUGCUUCCCAGGUCUUUCCUGCCCACCUCUUCCUUUCUUUUGGGG
Heterocephalus glaber (naked mole-rat) is the source of this 421-nucleotide long non-coding RNA. Lineage: Eukaryota; Metazoa; Chordata; Mammalia; Rodentia; Bathyergidae. The record is from Ensembl.